Molecule: transfer RNA, 72 nt
Filed under: Stegodyphus mimosarum
Lineage: Eukaryota; Metazoa; Arthropoda; Arachnida; Araneae; Eresidae
Rfam family: tRNA
About the family: Transfer RNA (tRNA) molecules are approximately 80 nucleotides in length. Their secondary structure includes four short double-helical elements and three loops (D, anti-codon, and T loops).
Source: Rfam by way of RNAcentral
GCCUUCGGGGUGUAGUGGUGAGCACGCUCGGCUCGUAUUCAAGAGCCCACGGUUCGAGUCCCGGCAAGGGCA